This 497-nucleotide ribosomal RNA is filed under the name uncultured bacterium. RNAcentral describes it as "partial 16S ribosomal RNA". It matches the Rfam family "Bacterial small subunit ribosomal RNA", at positions 28 to 507 of the family's 1533-position model. The record is from RNAcentral.
GAUGAACGCUGGCGGCGUGCCUAAUACAUGCAAGUCGAGCGAACGGACGAGAAGCUUGCUUCUCUGAUGUUAGCGGCGGACGGGUGAGUAACACGUGGAUAACCUACCUAUAAGACUGGGAUAACUUCGGCAAACCGGAGCUAAUACCGGAUAAUAUUUUGAACCGCAUGGUUCAAAAGUGAAAGACGGUCUUGCUGUCACUUAUAGAUGGAUCCGCGCUGCAUUAGCUAGUUGGUAAGGUAACGGCUUACCAAGGCAACGAUGCAUAGCCGACCUGAGAGGGUGAUCGGCCACACUGGAACUGAGACACGGUCCAGACUCCUACGGGAGGCAGCAGUAGGGAAUCUUCCGCAAUGGGCGAAAGCCUGACGGAGCAACGCCGCGUGAGUGAUGAAGGUCUUCGGAUCGUAAAACUCUGUUAUUAGGGAAGAACAUAUGUGUAAGUAACUGUGCACAUCUUGACGGUACCUAAUCAGAAAGCCACGGCUAACUACGUG